CCUACGGGAGGCAGCAGUGGGGAAUAUUGCGCAAUGGGCGAAAGCCUGACGCAGCGACGCCGCGUGAGGGAUGAAGGUCUUCGGAUCGUAAACCUCUGUCAGCAGGGAAGAACGGUCACUGUGCUAAUCAGCAGUGAAUUGACGGUACCUGCAAAGGAAGCACCGGCUAACUCAGUGCCAGCAGCCGCGGUAAUACGGAGGGUGCGAGCGUUAAUCGGAAUUAUUGGGCGUAAAGCGCUCGUAGGCGGUAUGUCAAGUCAAGGGUGAAAUCCCCGGGCUCAACGUGGGAACUGCCUUUGAUACUAGCAAACUAGAGUGUGAGAGAGGAUAGUGGAAUUCCAGGUGAAGGAGUGAAAUGCGUAGAUAUAUGGAGGAACAUCAGAGGCGAAGGCGACUAUCUGGCACAUAACUGACGCUGAGGAGCGAAAGCGUGGGUAGCAAACAGGAUUAGAUACCCCAGUAGUC
This 465-nucleotide ribosomal RNA is filed under the name uncultured bacterium. RNAcentral describes it as "partial 16S ribosomal RNA". It matches the Rfam family "Bacterial small subunit ribosomal RNA", at positions 338 to 795 of the family's 1533-position model. The record is from RNAcentral.